Molecule: ribosomal RNA, 253 nt
Filed under: uncultured bacterium
Lineage: Bacteria
Description: partial 16S ribosomal RNA
Rfam family: Bacterial small subunit ribosomal RNA
Source: RNAcentral
UACGGAGGGUGCGAGCGUUGUCCGGAAUCACUGGGCGUAAAGGGCGCGUAGGCGGCGCGGAUAGUCGGCGGUGAAAGCCCGGAGCUCAACUCCGGGUCGGCCGUCGAUACUUCCGGGCUUGAGCACUGUAGAGGCAGAUGGAAUUCCGGGUGUAGCGGUGGAAUGCGUAGAGAUCCGGAAGAACACAGGUGGCGAAGGCGGUCUGCUGGGCAGUUGCUGACGCUGAUGCGCGACAGCGUGGGGAGCAAACAGG